Molecule: long non-coding RNA, 289 nt
Organism: Gordionus sp. m RMFG-2023
Lineage: Eukaryota; Metazoa; Nematomorpha; Gordioida; Chordodea; Parachordodidae
Exons: 3
Source: RefSeq, a predicted model, not a curated record
AUAGAAUGGAUUCCAGAUGCAACUUUAGGCAUUUUUUUUUGGUAUUGGAUUGCAAAAUCAUGUCUAUGGCUUUGGUGCGUGGGAUACGAAAGAAAAUUCCCUGGAGCUAAUUGUAUAUAUCGCGAAGGCUUAAUGCCGCUCUAUACUAAAAAUUAUGAAUAUGUUAAAGAUAUAGAAGCCACAUGGGACAAUGUUGUCUCUAAAUUAUUUCUAUUCAGCAAAGAAAAAAUAAAGAUUAAAUGAGGGGGGAGAAUACGAUGAAAAAAACGAAAAAUCUACAAUAUUAAAG